RNAcentral lists this ribosomal RNA (454 nucleotides) under uncultured bacterium. RNAcentral's name for it is "partial 16S ribosomal RNA". It matches the Rfam family "Bacterial small subunit ribosomal RNA", at positions 355 to 801 of the family's 1533-position model. The record is from RNAcentral.
UAGGGAAUCUUCCACAAUGGACGCAAGUCUGAUGGAGCAACGCCGCGUGAGUGAAGAAGGCUUUCGGGUCGUAAAACUCUGUUGUUGGAGAAGAAUGGUCGGCAGAGUAACUGUUGUCGGCGUGACGGUAUCCAACCAGAAAGCCACGGCUAACUACGUGCCAGCAGCCGCGGUAAUACGUAGGUGGCAAGCGUUAUCCGGAUUUAUUGGGCGUAAAGCGAGCGCAGGCGGUUUUUUAAGUCUGAUGUGAAAGCCCUCGGCUUAACCGAGGAAGCGCAUCGGAAACUGGGAAACUUGAGUGCAGAAGAGGACAGUGGAACUCCAUGUGUAGCGGUGAAAUGCGUAGAUAUAUGGAAGAACACCAGUGGCGAAGGCGGCUGUCUGGUCUGUAACUGACGCUGAGGCUCGAAAGCAUGGGUAGCGAACAGGAUUAGAUACCCUGGUAGUCCAUGCC